CGGGGGGUAGCGUAAUUGGCUAUCGUGCAUGCCCUGGGAGCAUGAGAUUGUGGGUUCGAGUCCCGCCUCCCCGA
Molecule: transfer RNA, 74 nt
Filed under: Bacilli bacterium
Lineage: Bacteria; Bacillati; Bacillota; Bacilli
Description: tRNA-Pro
Rfam family: tRNA
About the family: Transfer RNA (tRNA) molecules are approximately 80 nucleotides in length. Their secondary structure includes four short double-helical elements and three loops (D, anti-codon, and T loops).
Source: RNAcentral